CCUACGGGUGGCAGCAGUAGGGAAUUUUCCACAAUGGGGGCAACCCUGAUGGAGCAACGCCGCGUGCAGGAUGAAUGCCUUCGGGUUGUAAACUGCUUUUAUAUGUGACGAUUAUGACGGUAGCAUAUGAAUAAGGAUCGGCUAACUCCGUGCCAGCAGCCGCGGUCAUACGGAGGAUCCAAGCGUUAUCCGGAAUUACUGGGCGUAAAGAGUUGCGUAGGUGGCAAAGUAAGUUGGUAGUGAAAUCGUGUGGCUCAACCAUGCUCACAUUACCAAAACUGCUUAGCUAGAGGAUGAGAGAGGUCGUUGGAAUUCCCAGUGUAGGAGUGAAAUCCGUAGAUAUUGGGAGGAACACCGAUGGCGUAGGCAGACGACUGGCUCAUUCCUGACACUAAGGCACGAAAGCGUGGGGAGCAAACGGGAUUAGAUACCCUUGUAGU
RNAcentral lists this ribosomal RNA (440 nucleotides) under uncultured bacterium. RNAcentral's name for it is "bacterial SSU rRNA". It matches the Rfam family "Bacterial small subunit ribosomal RNA", at positions 338 to 794 of the family's 1533-position model. The record is from RNAcentral.